UACAGAGGUCUCAAGCGUUGUUCGGAUUCAUUGGGCGUAAAGGGUGCGUAGGCGGCGCGGUAAGUCGGGUGUGAAAUCUCGGAGCUUAACUCCGAAACUGCAUUCGAUACUGCCGUGCUUGAGGACUGGAGAGGAGACUGGAAUUUACGGUGUAGCGGUGAAAUGCGUAGAUAUCGUAAGGAAGGCCGGUGGCGAAAGCGAGCCUCUGGACAGUUACUGACGCUGAUGCACGAAGGCCAGGGGAGCAAACGGG
RNAcentral lists this ribosomal RNA (253 nucleotides) under uncultured bacterium. Its description in RNAcentral is "partial 16S ribosomal RNA". It matches the Rfam family "Bacterial small subunit ribosomal RNA", at positions 524 to 776 of the family's 1533-position model. The record is from RNAcentral.